This 377-nucleotide ribosomal RNA is filed under the name uncultured bacterium. RNAcentral describes it as "bacterial SSU rRNA". It matches the Rfam family "Bacterial small subunit ribosomal RNA", at positions 521 to 896 of the family's 1533-position model. The record is from RNAcentral.
UAAUACGUACCACACGAACGUUAUUCGGAAUCACUGGGCUUAAAGGGUGCGUAGGCUGUGCAGAAAGUUGGGUGUGAAAUCCCUCGGCUUAACCGAGGAAUGGCGCUCAAAACUACUGUGCUCGAGAGAGACAGAGGUGAGCGGAACUUAGGGUGGAGCGGUGAAAUGCGUUGAUAUCCUAAGGAACACCGGUGGCGAAAGCGGCUCACUGGGUCUUUUCUGACGCUGAGGCACGAAAGCUAGGGGAGUGAACGGGAUUAGAUACCCCGGUAAUCCUAGCCGUAAACGAUGAGCACUGGGUUGAAGGGUCCUCCAUAGCCUUUCAGCCGUAGCAAAAGUGUUAAGUGCUCCGCCUGGGGAGUAUGGUCGCAAGGCUG